UCUAUUUGGGCACAUUUCACAUUCGAGUUUCAGAUUCUCUCAAAUUGUUCUAAAAAUAAAUAACAAUAAAAUUUAGUAGAAACAGUAAGGACAAUUUAGAAACUAAAAGAAAUAUUACCUGCAAAGUGCAAAGUCGUGAACUUUUCUCGGACUCCGAUUCCGAGUCUGAAUGGAAAGAUUGCUACCAGUUGCUCCAACUUGCCUUGUUGAGUUUGCCGUCUUCUAUUUGGGGGAGCAUAGUGUGGUGAAGAAAAGAGAGAUCCAAGGACGACUAUUUUAUUGGGAUUUGAGGUAAAAAAAAAUUUGAACAUAUAAAAAUGACAAGCAGAAAGUUUCAUCUUUACAGUGCAUUCAGAAACAUAUUGGAGGCAGAGAAAUG
RNAcentral lists this long non-coding RNA (379 nucleotides) under Nicotiana benthamiana. Its description in RNAcentral is "long non-coding RNA (NBEN_LNC022251)". The record is from RNAcentral. Lineage: Eukaryota; Viridiplantae; Streptophyta; Magnoliopsida; Solanales; Solanaceae.